RNAcentral lists this ribosomal RNA (301 nucleotides) under uncultured bacterium. RNAcentral describes it as "partial 16S ribosomal RNA". It matches the Rfam family "Bacterial small subunit ribosomal RNA", at positions 509 to 807 of the family's 1533-position model. The record is from RNAcentral.
CAGUAGCCGCGGGAAUACGAAGGGGGCUAGCGUUGCUCGGAAUGACUGGGCGUAAAGGGCGCGUAGGCGGUUCGUACAGUUGGAUGUGAAAUUCCUGGGCUUAACCUGGGGGCUGCAUUCAAUACGUGCGGGCUUGAGUGUGGAAGAGGGUUGUGGAAUUCCCAGUGUAGAGGUGAAAUUCGUAGAUAUUGGGAAGAAUACCUAUUGCGAAGGCGAUCUGCUGGAACUUAACUGACGCUAAUGCGUGAAAGCGUGGGGAGCAAACAGGAUUAGAUACCCCCGUAGUCCCUGUCUCUUAUAC